AUUGAACGCUGGCGGCAUGCCUUACACAUGCAAGUCGAACGGUAACAGGUUAAGCUGACGAGUGGCGAACGGGUGAGUAAUAUAUCGGAACGUGCCCAGUAGUGGGGGAUAGCCCGGCGAAAGCCGGAUUAAUACCGCAUACGACCUACGGGUGAAAGGGGGGGAUCGCAAGACCUCUCGCUAUUGGAGCGGCCGAUAUCAGAUUAGCUAGUUGGUGGGUAAAAGCUCACCAAGGCGACGAUCUGUAGCUGGUCUGAGAGGACGACCAGCCACACUGGGACUGAGACACGGCCCAGACUCCUACGGGAGGCAGCAGUGGGGAAUUUUGGACAAUGGACGCAAGUCUGAUCCAGCCAUGCCGCGUGCGGGAAGAAGGCCUUCGGUU
This 385-nucleotide ribosomal RNA is filed under the name uncultured bacterium. RNAcentral's name for it is "bacterial SSU rRNA". It matches the Rfam family "Bacterial small subunit ribosomal RNA", at positions 30 to 423 of the family's 1533-position model. The record is from RNAcentral.